GGUGUUCUGAGAGGAAGGUCCCCCACACUGGUACUGAGACACGGACCAGACUCCUACGGGAGGCAGCAGUGAGGAAUAUUGGUCAAUGGACGCAAGUCUGAACCAGCCAUGUCGCGUGAAGGAAGACGGUUCUAUGGAUUGUAAACUUCUUUUAUACGGGAAGAAACGUAUCUACGUGUAGAUAUUUGCCGGUACCGUAUGAAUAAGCACCGGCUAACUCCGUGCCAGCAGCCGCGGUAAUACGGAGGGUGCGAGCGUUAUCCGGAUUUAUUGGGUUUAAAGGGUGCGUAGGCGGAAUAAUAAGUCAGUGGUGAAAUCUUGCAGCUUAACUGUAAAACUGCCAUUGAUACUGUUAUUCUUGAAUUUAGUUGAGGUAGGCGGAAUGUGUUGUGUAGCGGUGAAAUGCAUAGAUAUAACACAGAACACCGAUUGCGAAGGCAGCUUACUAAGCUAUAAUUGACGCUGAUGCACGAAAGCGUGGGUAGCGAACAGGAUUAGAUACCCUGGUAGUCCACGCCGUAAACGAUGAUUACUCGUUGUUGGCAAUACAUAGUCAGCGACUGAGCGAAAGCAUUAAGUAAUCCACCUGGGGAGUACGUUGGCAACAAUGAAACUCAAAGGAAUUGACGGGGGCCCGCACAAGCGGAGGAACAUGUGGUUUAAUUCGAUGAUACGCGAGGAACCUUACCUGGACUUAAAUGUGGAUUGACAGGCUUAGAGAUAGGCUUUUCUUCGGACAAUUUACAAGGUGCUGCAUGGUUGUCGUCAGCUCGUGCCGUGAGGUGUCGGGUUAAGUCCCAUAACGAGCGCAACCCCUAUCUUUAGUUACCAGCAUGUAGUGGUGGGGACUCUAAAGAGACUGCCGGUGUAAACCGUGAGGAAGGUGGGGAUGACGUCAAAUCAGCACGGCCCUUACGUCCAGGGCUACACACGUGUUACAAUGGUCGGUACAAAGGGCAGCUACCUAGCGAUAGGAUGCUAAUCUCUAAAACCGAUCUCAGUUCGGAUCGGAGUCUGCAACUCGACUCCGUGAAGCUGGAUUCGCUAGUAAUCGCAUAUCAGCCAUGAUGCGGUGAAUACGUUCCCGGGCCUUGUACACACCGCCCGUCAAACCAUGGAAGUUGGGGGUACCUGAAGUCUGUUACCGUAAGGAGCGGCCUAGGGUAAAACUAAUAACUAGGGUUAAGUCGUAACAAGGUA
Molecule: ribosomal RNA, 1200 nt
Filed under: metagenome
Description: bacterial SSU rRNA
Rfam family: Bacterial small subunit ribosomal RNA
Source: RNAcentral